UGUUUUGGGAGCUCGGUAGGUCCUGAGCAUGUGGUUCAUUUGCUCUUCUUCACUUCUGCUUUCCUCAGGAAAUAAGUGCAGCAGCUCAUCAAGUGAUUCACAGUGGAAAGUUCAAAGAACAGAGUGAGAGCUACUGCAUGCACCAAGGUGCCUAAUUGGACAGAAGCAAUAAAGCUCUCUUUAUCUGGAUGUCCAUGUUGACUGUAAGAGGAGCUGCUGGAUCUAGGAGCCCAGCAUUAUGAGAUCAUCCUUUAAACUGCUGGUGGCAUCGAAAUCUCAGGAUGCUUUAUUCCUAGGCCCUGGGAUAUGGAGACAGCUCCAGGAGAUUCAUUAUCCUCCAUCAGCAACAGAAAAUGCAAAGGACUUAAAAGUCUGAAUGGGUCUGUAGAUCCACUGAAGGACUGUUAGGAUUAAGAAUACAUAAAACAGAAGAUCCAAGUGGAGAGAACAGACUAAUAGUAUAUUACGUGUCUGACAUCUAAUUUAGAAUGUCUGUUUUAGUCUCAACUGAUGGAGUAAAUAUGUGAAUUGUAAUUGCCAU
RNAcentral lists this long non-coding RNA (541 nucleotides) under Coturnix japonica (Japanese quail). RNAcentral describes it as "lncRNA (ENSCJPG00005018883.1)". The record is from RNAcentral. Lineage: Eukaryota; Metazoa; Chordata; Aves; Galliformes; Phasianidae.